CCAGCAUCUUUCCCCAACAUAAUAGACAUGAAUACUGCUGUAAAGAUUUCCACGAAGUCAGUGGCCGCUGUGAAGGUUGCCCAGCUGGUCAAUAUGGACUAAAAUGCAAACUGUCUUGUCCUGAUGGUUAUUAUGGCUUUAGAUGUAAACAAAGUUGUAAUUGUCUAAAUGACGGAGUGUGUCAUUAAGUCGACGGUUGUGUCUGCAGAGACGGUUUUUCAGGGGAAGCGUGUGAGAAAGCUUGUCUUCCUGGAAAAUUUGAUAAUAGAUGUCAACAGACAUGCAACUGUUCUGCUGGAUUUACGUGUGAAUGGAUGACAGGAAAAUGUAGUUGUCUUCAAGGACCGACUCAAGGGUUGUGUAACUACGACAGUACAAUUAAAUUGCAUGUGCAAGGGAUCACAACUACAACAUACAUCAAGGACACUACCAGUGAAGCCUUCCAUCAAGGCGUAAGUUAUACAUACGGUGGUGGAGUAGCAGAAAGCAGAUCAAAUUAUAUAUCAGGUAGAAAGAAGGUUGCCUCUAAACCAUUUGUAAUAUAUAACAUCGUGGUAAUAUGUGCACUUGUGUUUAUAUGGCUACUGAUAAUGAUAAAUAAAGUGAAGGAAGCAAGAUCUACCAAAGGAGAUCCGAACAUACAACGAAAUAAGGAUAAUGAAAACAAUGUGUAAAUUGCUUAAAUUAGCGAAGCUUGAAAUAUCACAUCGGUCUUUGUUUAUGCAUAUUACUCAUGUUAGUCUGAUCUUACACAAAUAUAACAAAAGAAUAUUUGCAAAUAGGGUUGAAUCUUUGAAGAUAUGAGAGAAACGAACACUACUUAUUUUUAAUAAAGAAUGUAUCCCUUAAAAACAUAGUCACCACAUGUUUACUGUGCAGUAACAAGUAAGGAGGAUUUUCCAACUUUCCGGAGACUAAAUUGUACAUUGAUGUAAUCUUUACUUUAUGUCAAAACAUUUUUAUAUUCGCUGAUUGCUCAGAUGUUUGAUUGCCUUUUUAUUGACUGACUGGUAUGUGUGUAAUGCAUUUAUAACAACUAGAAAUUGCCCC
Molecule: long non-coding RNA, 1050 nt
Organism: Mytilus californianus (California mussel)
Lineage: Eukaryota; Metazoa; Mollusca; Bivalvia; Mytilida; Mytilidae
Exons: 4
Source: RefSeq, a predicted model, not a curated record